This 713-nucleotide ribosomal RNA is filed under the name uncultured Lachnospiraceae bacterium. Its description in RNAcentral is "bacterial SSU rRNA". It matches the Rfam family "Bacterial small subunit ribosomal RNA", at positions 65 to 776 of the family's 1533-position model. The record is from RNAcentral. Lineage: Bacteria; Bacillati; Bacillota; Clostridia; Lachnospirales; Lachnospiraceae.
AACGAAACACCUUAUUUGAUUUUCUUCGGAACUGAAGAUUUGGUGAUUGAGUGGCGGACGGGUGAGUAACGCGUGGGUAACCUGCCCUGUACAGGGGGAUAACAGUCAGAAAUGACUGCUAAUACCGCAUAAGACCACAGCACCGCAUGGUGCAGGGGUAAAAACUCCGGUGGUACAGGAUGGACCCGCGUCUGAUUAGCUGGUUGGUGAGGUAACGGCUCACCAAGGCGACGAUCAGUAGCCGGCUUGAGAGAGUGAACGGCCACAUUGGGACUGAGACACGGCCCAAACUCCUACGGGAGGCAGCAGUGGGGAAUAUUGCACAAUGGGGGAAACCCUGAUGCAGCGACGCCGCGUGAGUGAAGAAGUAUCUCGGUAUGUAAAGCUCUAUCAGCAGGGAAGAAAAUGACGGUACCUGACUAAGAAGCCCCGGCUAACUACGUGCCAGCAGCCGCGGUAAUACGUAGGGGGCAAGCGUUAUCCGGAAUUACUGGGUGUAAAGGGUGCGUAGGUGGUAUGGCAAGUCAGAAGUGAAAACCCAGGGCUUAACUCUGGGACUGCUUUUGAAACUGUCAGACUGGAGUGCAGGAGAGGUAAGCGGAAUUCCUAGUGUAGCGGUGAAAUGCGUAGAUAUUAGGAGGAACAUCAGUGGCGAAGGCGGCUUACUGGACUGAAACUGACACUGAGGCACGAAAGCGUGGGGAGCAAACAGG